UACGGGGGGGGCAAGCGUUGGUUCGGAAUUACUGGGCGUAAAGGGUUCGUAGGUGGCUUGUUAAGUCAGACGGUGAAAUCCCUCGGCUCAACCGGGGAACUGCGUCUGAGACCGAUGAGCUCGAGUGCAGGAGAGGAACGCGGAAUUCCAGGUGUAGCGGUGAAAUGCGUAGAUAUCUGGAGGAACACCGGUGGCGAAGGCGGCGUUCUGGACUGCAACUGACACUGAGGAACGAAAGCCAGGGGAGCAAACGGG
Molecule: ribosomal RNA, 255 nt
Filed under: uncultured bacterium
Lineage: Bacteria
Description: partial 16S ribosomal RNA
Rfam family: Bacterial small subunit ribosomal RNA
Source: RNAcentral